This 467-nucleotide ribosomal RNA is filed under the name Prevotella sp. oral taxon 306. Its description in RNAcentral is "bacterial SSU rRNA". It matches the Rfam family "Bacterial small subunit ribosomal RNA", at positions 28 to 483 of the family's 1533-position model. Lineage: Bacteria; Pseudomonadati; Bacteroidota; Bacteroidia; Bacteroidales; Prevotellaceae. The record is from RNAcentral.
GAUGAACGCUAGCUACAGGCUUAACACAUGCAAGUCGAGGGGAAACGGCAUUUAGUGCUUGCACCGAAUGGACGUCGACCGGCGCACGGGUGAGUAACGCGUAUCCAACCUUCCCACAACUAAGGAAUAACCUGCCGAAAGGCAGACUAAUACCUUAUGUAAUCCUUUGAUGGCAUCAGAUAAGGAUAAAAGAUUUAUCGGUUAUGGAUGGGGAUGCGUCUGAUUAGCUUGUUGGCGGGGUAACGGCCCACCAAGGCAACGAUCAGUAGGGGUUCUGAGAGGAAGGUCCCCCACAUUGGAACUGAGACACGGUCCAAACUCCUACGGGAGGCAGCAGUGAGGAAUAUUGGUCAAUGGACGGAAGUCUGAACCAGCCAAGUAGCGUGCAGGAUGACGGCCCUAUGGGUUGUAAACUGCUUUUGUAUGGGGAUAAAGUCAAUCACGUGGAUUGUUUGCAGGUACCAUAC